This is a long non-coding RNA of Daphnia pulicaria, 928 nucleotides long. RefSeq lists it as uncharacterized. The transcript is spliced from 4 exons. Lineage: Eukaryota; Metazoa; Arthropoda; Branchiopoda; Diplostraca; Daphniidae. The record is from RefSeq and is a predicted model, not a curated record.
UGAAAUGAAGACGUUGAUUUCUCGUAGCGCUUCACUGUUCUAGCUCGAACGUGCUGUUCGUUUAUCAAGUCAUUCAAAUGUUAUUCCUAUGUUCCAAUGUUUUAUUGCGGUUGGUGAUGAAAGAUUUUAUUUAACAUUCAUUUUUGCAUGGUCAACUUUCAGUGAUGGAUCAUCCGCGAUGUGAUAUCUGCUGUGUCUGCUGACCGCAGAUGAGAACCAACGAAUCAGUUCCUCGGCGAUUUCAUUCUUCAUUCGGAAAAUCAGGAGAUGAAGAAUACCGGAAGAAGCACCUCCCCAUUGCGCCAUCACGACAGUUUCACCAGUCAUCGACAAUUCUACAUGUGUACUUCUGUCUGCUGCUGCUUCUUUCGUUCGGAUCCGCUGUGACAGAAGACCCUUACUACAUCCCUCGUGAACCAACACACCCGUCACUAGCCGUCGCCAGCCGUCCUUGUCGAAAGAUGGCAGUCGAGGAUUCAACAGCCGUCGCUUUCUUGUCAUCGCAUCAAUUCCGCUUGAAUUUCCUUCCUCUCCCGCCACGACCAGCACAAACCAAGUAUUGGCCAGUCUGACGACAUCAUCCGGGAAGUCUCUUUUAACUGUGGAUUUGAUAAGGAAUCCGUAAGCGAUGGGCCGCUGUCUGGAUGGUGAAAUAUUGAAGGUUGAACCCUUCCAUCUCUUUUUCAGCCAUUCGAGACCGUCUUCCUUGGUACAAAUGGGUACAUGGAACUGGCAAAUCGACACCCUUCUUCUCACCACCCCGUGGCUUCAAGUUUCCCCACAGCCGUCAGACUGCAACUUGCGUCACUUUCAACCACAUCUAUCGGUGAGUCCAAUGAUCAAACUGAUUCUUAUUGUUCCAUUCGCCGAGUAGUACCACGUCGCACUUGGUUAUCUGCUAUCAAAAAUCAAGAAAAACGCGUCCAUA